Small nuclear RNA from Octodon degus (degu), 188 nucleotides. Its record names the gene U2. It matches the Rfam family "U2 spliceosomal RNA". From Rfam's summary of the family: U2 is a small nuclear RNA (snRNA) component of the spliceosome (involved in pre-mRNA splicing). Complementary binding between U2 snRNA (in an area lying towards the 5' end but 3' to hairpin I) and the branchpoint sequence (BPS) of the intron results the bulging out of an unpaired adenosine, on the BPS, which initiates a nucleophilic attack at the intronic 5' splice site, thus starting the first of two transesterification reactions that mediate splicing. The record is from Ensembl. NCBI's taxonomy places the organism in Eukaryota, Metazoa, Chordata, Mammalia, Rodentia, Octodontidae.
AUCCCUUCUGGGCCUUUUGGCCAAGAUCUAGUGUAAUUUCUGUUCUCAUUUUAAUAGCUGAUACAUCCUCUAUCCGAGGGCAGUAUAUUUAAAGGAUUUUUGGAGCUGGGAGAUAGAAUAGGAGCUUGCUCCAUCCCUUCCAUGCGUCCACCUGGUAUUGCAGCACCUCUAGGAAUGAUGCAACACCC